This 253-nucleotide ribosomal RNA is filed under the name uncultured bacterium. RNAcentral's name for it is "partial 16S ribosomal RNA". It matches the Rfam family "Bacterial small subunit ribosomal RNA", at positions 524 to 776 of the family's 1533-position model. The record is from RNAcentral.
UACGUAGGGGGCUAGCGUUGUCCGGAAUCAUUGGGCGUAAAGCGCGUGUAGGCGGUCCGGUAAGUCCGCUGUGAAAGUCGGGGGCUCAACCCUCGAAUGCCGGUGGAUACUGUCGGGCUAGAGUGCGGAAGAGGCGAGUGGAAUUCCUGGUGUAGCGGUGAAAUGCGUAGAUAUCUGGAGGAAUACCGGUGGCGAAGGCGGCGUUCUGGACUGCAACUGACACUGAUGAACGAAAGCCAGGGGAGCAAACGGG